CCUGGCUCAGGAUGAACGCUAGCUACAGGCUUAACACAUGCAAGUCGAGGGGCAUCAGGAAGAAAGCUUGCUUUCUUUGCUGGCGACCGGCGCACGGGUGAGUAACACGUAUCCAACCUGCCCUUUACUCGGGGAUAGCCUUUCGAAAGAAAGAUUAAUACCCGAUAGUAUAAUGAUUCCGCAUGGUUUCAUUAUUAAAGGAUUCCGGUAAAGGAUGGGGAUGCGUUCCAUUAGGUUGUUGGUGAGGUAACGGCUCACCAAGCCUUCGAUGGAUAGGGGUUCUGAGAGGAAGGUCCCCCACAUUGGAACUGAGACACGGUCCAAACUCCUACGGGAGGCAGCAGUGAGGAAUAUUGGUCAAUGGGCGCUAGCCUGAACCAGCCAAGUAGCGUGAAGGAUGAAGGCUCUAUGGGUCGUAAACUUCUUUUAUAUAAGAAUAAAGUGCAGUAUGUAUACUGUUUUGUAUGUAUUAUAUGAAUAAGGAUCGGCUAACUCCGUGCCAGCAGCCGCGGUAAUACGGAGGAUCCGAGCGUUAUCCGGAUUUAUUGGGUUUAAAGGGAGCGUAGGUGGACUGGUAAGUCAGUUGUGAAAGUUUGCGGCUCAACCGUAAAAUUGCAGUUGAUACUGUCAGUCUUGAGUACAGUAGAGGUGGGCGGAAUUCGUGGUGUAGCGGUGAAAUGCUUAGAUAUCACGAAGAACUCCGAUUGCGAAGGCAGCUCACUGGACUGCAACUGACACUGAUGCUCGAAAGUGUGGGUAUCAAACAGGAUUAGAUACCCUGGUAGUCCACACAGUAAACGAUGAAUACUCGCUGUUUGCGAUAUACAGUAAGCGGCCAAGCGAAAGCAUUAAGUAUUCCACCUGGGGAGUACGCCGGCAACGGUGAAACUCAAAGGAAUUGACGGGGGCCCGCACAAGCGGAGGAACAUGUGGUUUAAUUCGAUGAUACGCGAGGAACCUUACCCGGGCUUAAAUUGCAGUGGAAUGAUGUGGAAACAUGUCAGUGAGCAAUCACCGCUGUGAAGGUGCUGCAUGGUUGUCGUCAGCUCGUGCCGUGAGGUGUCGGCUUAAGUGCCAUAACGAGCGCAACCCUUAUCUUUAGUUACUAACAGGUCAUGCUGAGGACUCUAGAGAGACUGCCGUCGUAAGAUGUGAGGAAGGUGGGGAUGACGUCAAAUCAGCACGGCCCUUACGUCCGGGGCUACACACGUGUUACAAUGGGGGGUACAGAAGGCAGCUAGCGGGUGACCGUAUGCUAAUCCCAAAAUCCUCUCUCAGUUCGGAUCGAAGUCUGCAACCCGACUUCGUGAAGCUGGAUUCGCUAGUAAUCGCGCAUCAGCCACGGCGCGGUGAAUACGUUCCCGGGCCUUGUACACACCGCCC
RNAcentral lists this ribosomal RNA (1383 nucleotides) under Scomber scombrus (Atlantic mackerel). RNAcentral describes it as "16S ribosomal RNA". It matches the Rfam family "Bacterial small subunit ribosomal RNA", at positions 18 to 1395 of the family's 1533-position model. Lineage: Eukaryota; Metazoa; Chordata; Actinopteri; Scombriformes; Scombridae. The record is from RNAcentral. RNAcentral also lists the same sequence under 1 other name.